Molecule: ribosomal RNA, 363 nt
Filed under: uncultured Geobacteraceae bacterium
Lineage: Bacteria; Pseudomonadati; Thermodesulfobacteriota; Desulfuromonadia; Geobacterales; Geobacteraceae
Description: bacterial SSU rRNA
Rfam family: Bacterial small subunit ribosomal RNA
Source: RNAcentral
GGAAGCACCGGCUAACUCCGUGCCAGCAGCCGCGGUAAUACGGAGGGUGCGAGCGUUGUUCGGAUUUAUUGGGCGUAAAGCGCGUGUAGGCGGUUUUUUAAGUCUGAUGUGAAAGCCACGGGCUCAACCUGGGAAGUGCAUUGGAUACUGGGAGACUUGAAUACGGGAGAGGGUAGUGGAAUUCCUAGUGUAGGAGUGAAAUCCGUAGAUAUUAGGAGGAACACCGGUGGCGAAGGCGGCUGCCUGGACCGAUAUUGACGCUGAGACGCGAAAGCGUGGGUAGCAAACAGGAUUAGAUACCCUGGUAGUCCACGCCGUAAACGAUGAGAACUAGGUGUUGCGGGUAAAGGGCGMMYUCWRMAR